UUGUUAUAUAUACAAAAUCAUGAUGAAAAGUCUUUAUUUGGCAUAAAAGAGAUGAUAUAGGCUUUUUUACAAAAACACACAGCUUUAUAUAUGUUGGAGAGUCAAGCUUUAUUUUACACAAAAGUCUUUUGGAAGAAAAAGUACCAUGCAUAGCAAGGUUGUUUUUUGAAGACAAGGUAUCAUAAGGCUUGAAAAAGAAUUGACCAUGUUGACUAUGCAAACUAAAGACAUUGUUGUAUCCUAAGGCUUUUUAAAAUGUUUUUAUUAUUAUAAUAUUUUUUUUAAAACUGUGAUUGGCUGGCAACCAGUUGAGGGUGUGCCCCGCCUCUCGCCCGGAGAUAGCCUCCAGCCCCUAGUGAGGAGAAGCGGAACGGAAGAUGAAUGAUCAGGAAAGACAAGUUGUAUAUCGUAGGGCUUUUUUAACACUAAAAAGGCAAAAGGCUUCUUGUAGUAAAUUAUAGUCAUCAUGUCUUCAACAAUUUUUUCUCCGUGAAGUCUUAUUAUACAUCAUGUGGUAUUAAAAAUUCCAUAGUAUAUAUUCUGUCACUUUGAUCAUUCAUAAUCUUAUGGUAUCAUUUUAUGCAAUAAACAAUUGUAUCAUGUCAUAGUAAAGAUGAUUAGUUGUCAUGAUGAGAAUGUCUUACGAUGUAAAUCCAAAGUCUUAUUAUGGCAAGGAUUCCAAAAAUAAACCAACAACUUGAGUAUACAUCAAGGUGCAGUCAAACGGCUGCAUUAUUGAAAACAAAAUCCAUAUGCAGAUAAUGCGCAUUUUUACAUCAUCCCAUCACGCGGCCGCUGUAGUCACAUACAUCUGUUAUCAAAUGUGUCAACCGUGUUAAAAGUUUGAAUAAUCAGAAGUGUUUCAGCUUUGAAAUGAUUAAUAUUCAGCUCCAGAUCUUUGUAACCUUUCGCGGGGUUUCCGGUGGUAACGGCUGGUUUCACAAUAUCUGUAUGGCUAACCGUAUCCGUGACACGGUCCGGAUGGAGAUGCUGUCAUUUACGUGGGAAACCGCAUCCGAGCCAUUACCCAUGGCGUGAUGAGAUCAAAAAUGUAUAUACACCUUAUUAUCUUCCUCGCUGACAGCCAUUUGCAGCCGAAUCGGGAAGUUGAAAUAUCCCACGGAGUCGUCUUUGGCCGGAGCAGACGACUGCAAAUUGUGCACAAACAAAACAAGCUGCACAGCCACAGAUAUUCAGUAAUCACAUCCACAAAUACAAUUUAGAGGGUAUUAUGUUCCUUUUGCCCAGUUUUAUCUGGGACUCGUUUUAAUUAAGUGGGACACUGCUUUCAUUUACUCUUUGUAAUCUUUUGUUUGUGUUUUUCUCCCCAUUAGUUUGCCUUAUCUGCGGAUUGUGCAGGCCUACGCACAAAGUUGUACUCAAACUUGGUUUGAGCUGAUGACGACAGCUGAAACACUUGAUUUAUAUUUUGUAAUGGGACCACGUUGUUGUUUUUUUGUUGCCGGGCAAACCGGACGUGGAGCUUUUUCCUCGAGCUGUGAUUCACAUGGAUGGCUUAACCACUUUCGUUUUGAAUAAACGCUGCACUUUGCAUCUCAGUCAUAUGUUUGAGGGGUGUCUAUUUAUUUCUUUGUUUCUUCUCCCCAAUUUGCAGCAAUGAGGAUUAGCUAGUGGGGCUGCAGCACCUGCAGUGGAAUCACAGUCACAUAAGUCUCUCGUGCUGUUGUACUCUUUACUCACAGCGGUGACAAGAAACGACUUUGUCCUCUCGAUUGAUAACAAUAUUUGUACUGGGAUGGAUCUUUUGUGUCUAGAAUUUUAAGUGGCGAGAUAGCAGUAGGUUAGGGCUAAAAAAGAUAAGAACCGCAGACUGACAAUAAUGAAGUCAGAUGUUUUUGCCAUUCAAUUAUAUCCCGGUGGCUGCCAUUCUGCACCUACCACUGCCAAACACCCAACCGCAUUUAUUCGUAGCCAAUACGGGUUUGCGUGUCAUCCACGUACACGAUGACGUUAUUUGCUCGGGCGGGGAUACGAACCAGCGAUCGUCCGGUUUCAGGGUGUGCACAGAGCCUCUGCGCCACGCUACUCACAUUGCCAUUGGCAAUCAGUGUUGAGAAGUGACCUUUUGUUUCUCUUUGCGACUGGCUCCACCACUGAGCUAUUUGAAAAUCAUCAGCACUUUUGGAAGCAACUCAGCCAUUAUAAACAAGACUUGAUUAUUGUAAUUUUGUCGUUUUUUUUUUUUUUUUUUUUCCAUUCUCAACAGGUACCACCGUAAUCAGCAACAUGAAAAUACAGUAGGUCAGCAGGCCCAGUGGUUUUAUUCCUAAAAAGAAGUUGCAAUAUUGAUAUUAUAUAACGACGAUAAAAAAAGAACUACUUCAAUAAUUGAUAUCGGAUAUAAAAGUGAAAGAAAAACGGUGCCUACAUGUUUGAAAACAAUGAAACGCAUCCCGGUUGCCCCGGGAGACGGGAGCCACACAAGCUUAUUGAGUUUCACCUGUGGCUCGUUGCGAGUGCUUGCAGCUGUGGCUGACGACGGGGACAAAGCAAUAAGAGGGCCGCAAAGACAGUCAGUAGUGUGACUGGGCACCAAGGUGCCCGAUGCCGGGGCCACGCGCUUGCACGGUGGCUGCGGUGCAGCCAUUUAUCAAAUGGCUUGGUGAUGUAAGGUAGGUUUAGUUGAUCCAGUAUUUAAAAAAAAAAAAAGAAUAAUAAUAAUGAUGUCAUGUUUAUGCAUGUUGUGUUGAAUACCAAUUCAGUCACAAGAAAAUGUUGUCAAGUUGCUUUCCAGACAUGCAGAAGGCGAGAAGACCGAAGACUCUGUGGAACUCAAACUGUGGGCAAACUCAUGGUAUAAAUUGUUUGGCAGUGGCUCAGUUAGGUCAGACCCACCCCCACCUGAAGGAAGAUGCACCCGCAGCUCCUGAUGCAACUGUCACACACACACCCUGCCACCCAAUUGGUUGCCUGGGGAACCAGCAGGUGUGAUUCGUUACGGAGUACCUGGUGCAUUUCGGAGCGACGCGCAGCAUAAAGAGCUGUGCAGAAAGCAACUCAGGACAGCUGUCCAAACAAUUUGUGACUGCUGUGGAAGAGAGUGUCACUAAAUCUUGUCACCUGGGAGGGGCUUCAAGCAAAUUUGUUUUGGCGCAGAAUCGUGGUCAUAGGAAAAACCCAGAACUUGACAACGUAUGUAUUUAUUUGUCUCUCUGUGCAAAAGCUGAUAUAAGAUUUUAUUUUAACCAUUGUUUUGAGAUGUUGGUUAAACGGACUUUGUUGUGACAAUAAUUCUUUAGGAAUAUAAGACUGUACAUCUCAUUUCCAUUUGUC
Phyllopteryx taeniolatus (common seadragon) is the source of this 3294-nucleotide long non-coding RNA. RefSeq lists it as uncharacterized. The transcript has 4 exons. The record is from RefSeq and is a predicted model, not a curated record. NCBI's taxonomy places the organism in Eukaryota, Metazoa, Chordata, Actinopteri, Syngnathiformes, Syngnathidae.